This is a long non-coding RNA of Polypterus senegalus (gray bichir), 858 nucleotides long. RefSeq lists it as uncharacterized. The record is from RefSeq and is a predicted model, not a curated record. The transcript is spliced from 3 exons. Lineage: Eukaryota; Metazoa; Chordata; Cladistia; Polypteriformes; Polypteridae.
GGUCAUUGUCCGGUAAUGUACGCCUUAGUUGCUGUGCUCGAAACACAAUGAGGCCAUUCCAAUGACUGUCGCUCUCACGCGGAGUUGGACUACCAGACCAUCAUGGCAACAGUAAUAGGUUCCAGCUACCCCUGGAGAAUUCCCACAUGCUUCCAGGGCAAACAAGAUAUAGAAUCCUUCCAGCAUCUCCUGGAUCUGCACCUGGGACCAAAGUGGACAAUGAAGGCUUAAUCAUCACUGUCAUUCCCAUGGCCCAUCUCAACUUCACCACACCUGCAGAGACAGCAUCCUUUGUUCUCCUCCUUGACUGCACAUGCCUCCAUUCUCCAUGACUGAAAGUUCUUCAUCAUUACUUUCAUUUUUGUUGCACUGAUCAGUAUGACAUACUCUUCUGAAGCCCUUUCAACUCAGCACACCAACUCUUGUAGUUAUUUUGGCGACACAGACAAUAAAACAAUGUCAUCAGCCUACCUGAGAUUACUGAUGGUCUUCCCACCAAUCCUGAAUCCUCCAGAGAAUCUUUUGAAAAAUCAUUUGAAGUGUGCAAUAAUACAAAUGUAAGUUUUAGACUAAAUCACUAUUAGGAGAUUGUACUUUGCACAAAUGUGAUUCAUCUUAUUUGCGCAUAUUAGUACCAUUCAGGAAGCCAUACCUGGAAGUCGGUGCCUCUUAAUCCUCCCCCUGAUUUCCAGCUCAAACAAACAUUCUUUAAGAUCAUGUUUAAUUCACAACUUGCAUGUUUGUGGCUGCACUUUAUCUAUUGGCAUCUUGGAGAAUUAACAUUUCUAUGAAAUCAAUGUAGACCCCAGCAACACCUUUUACAGUGCACUAUUGGAAUUUAUGUCAUAAUGCAUGUUG